UCUCUCUCUCUCUCUCGCCCUUCCCCGAAACGGCGAAACCCUAUCCCUCUCCUCCUCUCUCUCCCCCUCCCCGGUCCCAAUCUUUAUGGCUCAUCUCGGAGGGGCGCAGCCUGGUGUUGACUCGUUGGAGGAAGGCGAAGAAGAUGGUGACUACGGUGAGCCCACUCCGGUGGCUGGAGAUCGUGACGGAGGAGAGAGAGUCCUCCAGAUCCACUUUCUCUCUCCUCCACGAAUUUGAGUUCUUGUUUCCUUUCUAUUCAGCACCCAACCUCCUCCUCCAUCUCCGAACGGCACCGAACCAUCCUGUUCUUCCUUCUCCGCCUCCGACCAGAACCCGACCCUUCUCCGCCUCUGACCAGCACCCGGCUAAGAAAGAAGAGGAGAGAGAGGUCGGGUGCGAGGGGUUAGGGAUCAAAGAUGGUGGAUGUUCCAGAGUUCAAGGCCCCCGUUUCGGAGACGAAUCGGAGCAACUCCGAAAGAAGUGUGCUUCGGGUUUCCGAGCUACAAACCAAAGUGAUUGGUAUUGGUUUCAGGCGAUUAUGCGAACUCUAUAGAGAGUUAAAUUGGGUAAAUUGGCUAGCUGUGUUUGCAAAUUUGUGUGGAGUUAUUACAGCUGUGUUUGUGAGAUUUCUUCAUAGAGUUGAAAAGUAAGAAUGUGAAGAGGUUAUUGUCUAGCUCUAACCUGACCAGAAGAGUACCAUUUGGAAUUUGCAACCUGUGACAGUUCAAUGCACAUCCUUUGUCCAAUUGUUCCAUUUGAAAGAUUAGCAUGGUCUUAUGUAUAGAUCAAUCGGAACAAUUUGGCCAAUUUUCUCUUCACCUAUUUCUCAUUUAUGUCUCUGUGGGCUGUUAUUAAGCUAGAAACUCUUUUGAGUGAGAACAUGAGAGAGUUGUCUCAUAUGUGGGCACCUCCAAUAUAUAGAAGAUUGCUUAGCUCUGAUAAGAGUGAUAUGUCAGAAAGGUGUCUACUGAAGAUUAGAUCCACAAUCAUACCUUCUCCAAUAGAUCUCUCCAAGGUACUUGUCAGAGAUUUAAAGACAAAGUUGCUCACUGGGAUGCAUGAUAUGCUAUCAGUGGUAUGAAGAUUCAAACUAUUCAAGCAUGGGGAUGGUAUAUCCGCUUACUAGGGUCUCAUGCCUUGAAGAACAGACAUUUAAUUAAUGAUAUGCUGAAAAUUCCCAAGAAAACAUUUUCAGAUAACGACUCACAAGUUCAGAUUGCUUCCCAGUUCCCAGGCCUGGAGGAUACUAGAUAUUUGUGUGUACAUGUUUGAACUCUACAGCUAUAGGUCAUACACACCGAAGGAAAGUGUGUUUAGACUCAGGGGACACUAUUCAGAAUGGUGUAUGCUGCCCCCUUUUGUUGUAGUGGUUAUGUGCAUUGUGGGAUCAGUGAUUAUAGUAAUCCAUGUGCCUCAGGAGCAUACUUAUGGACUAUUGCGACCCAACCAGCCUUUGUAAUGUACGUUGUUGCUACACUUUCUCUAGCGAACUUGCUGAAGAAAAUGCACUAGUGUGUGAUGCAGAAAUGAAAAGUGAAUUUGCUGCAGAACUAGAUAUGGAUAUGUACUUUUGGUUAGAAUUGCUGGAUUUGAUCAUAUCUGGAUAUGGAUAUGUACUUUUGGAAAUGUUUUGGAUUGGCAAUGUAAGAACAGAUGGCAUUGAUAUAUGACAAUGUUAUAUUUUGGAUUUGUUCAGGA
Rosa rugosa (rugosa rose) is the source of this 1699-nucleotide long non-coding RNA. RefSeq lists it as uncharacterized. The record is from RefSeq and is a predicted model, not a curated record. The transcript has 10 exons. Lineage: Eukaryota; Viridiplantae; Streptophyta; Magnoliopsida; Rosales; Rosaceae.